This 446-nucleotide ribosomal RNA is filed under the name uncultured bacterium. RNAcentral's name for it is "SSU rRNA". It matches the Rfam family "Bacterial small subunit ribosomal RNA", at positions 26 to 518 of the family's 1533-position model. The record is from RNAcentral.
AGAGCGAACGCUGGCGGCAGGCUUAACACAUGCAAGUCGAGCGGGCGUAGCAAUACGUCAGCGGCAGACGGGUGAGUAACGCGUGGGAACGUACCUUUUGGUUCGGAACAACACAGGGAAACUUGUGCUAAUACCGGAUACGCCCUACGGGGGAAAGAUUUAUCGGGAUUGGAUGAGCCCGCGUUGGAUUAGCUAGUUGGUGAGGUAACGGCUCACCAAGGCGACGAUCCAUAGCUGGUCUGAGAGGAUGAUCAGCCACACUGGGACUGAGACACGGCCCAGACUCCUACGGGAGGCAGCAGUGGGGAAUAUUGGACAAUGGGGCGCAAGCCUGAUCCAGCCAUGCCGCGUGAGUGAUGAAGGCCUUAGGGUUGUAAAGCUCUUUCACCGAUGACGAUAAUGACGGUAGUCGGAGAAGAGCCCGGCUAACUCGUGCCAGCAGCCGC